AGAGCUGAGCAAAGGCUAAGCCUUUAUCACCUUUUGCUCAAAAGUAUGAAUCCAUUUAGGCAAACUUGGGGAGGUUGGAUGGAUACUAUGGCUUAAGUGGUUGACAAAGAUUGGUGCUAUUGGCGGUACAUAGACGCAAUGAGGAUGACAAGAAAGCUACUGCUUUGAAAGAGGAAGAAAGUGAGCUGGAGGAACUGGGGUACCUUCAUUGAGCUGAGAGGGGUCUAAAAAUUGGGAUUCAUUUCUGAGCAGCUGCUGGCAUGUCAGAGGCUUGGAAUCGGCCUGGUAAAUCUAAAACUGUCUCAGCAGUGGUUAGCUGACCUCACCCAAGUUCCAAGCCUUACUCUGCUUGAUCCUUUUUUCUUGAGCCUCAGAGCUAAAAUGCUCCUGAGCUCCUUCUGAUUGGUUGAGAAGACCAAUUGAAGUUCCCUUGCCCAUGUUAGGAGGUGUACGCCUCCUGAACUAAAGAUAGAAACAGCUGGCCCUUCCAGGCAGCUAAAAGCCUCCAGACUAAGAGGUGUUUCCCACUCGUCAGCCAGACUCCUUGAAAUACCCUUUGAGUAAUUCUACCAACGUCCUCCAUGUCUCUGUUCUGCCAUAACAAAGGCUGUGGGCAGCACUUUGACCCCAAUGCAAACCUUCCUGAUUCCUGUUGCCAUCACCCUGGGGUCCCAAUCUUCCAUGAUGCACUUAAGGGUUGGUCCUGCUGCCGGAAGCGAACUGCAGAUUUCUCUGAGUUCUUAAACAUCAAGGGCUGUACUGUGGGACCACACUGUGCUGAGAAGCUCCCUGAGGCCCCUCAACCUGAGGGGCCUGCCACAAGCAGUUCACUUCAGGAGCAAAAACCUCUGAAUACGAUUCCAAAGUCAGCAGAGACUUUGCGUCGGGAGAGGCCCAAGUCAGAGUUACCUCCAAAGCUUCUUCCGCUAAAUAUAUCCCAAGCCCUGGAAAUGGCAUUGGAACAGAAGGAAUUAGACCAAGAACCUGGAGCAGGUCUUGACAGUAGUCUGAUCCGGAGUGGUUCCAGCUGCCAGAAUCCAGGAUGUGAUGCUGUUUACCAAAGCCCUGAGAGUGAUGCUACUCCAUGUACCUACCACCCAGGAGCACCUCGAUUCCAUGAGGGGAUGAAGUCCUGGAGCUGCUGUGGCAUCCAGACCCUGGAUUUUGGGGCAUUCCUGGCACAGCCAGGAUGCAGAGUUGGUAGGCAUGACUGGGGGAAGCAGCUGCCAGCAUCUUGCCGUCAUGAUUGGCACCAGACAGAUUCCUUAGUAGUGGUGACUGUGUAUGGCCAGAUUCCACUUCCUGCGUUCAAUUGGGUGAAGGCCAGUCAAACUGAGCUUCAUGUCCACAUUGUCUUUGAUGGUAACCGUGUGUUCCAAGCACAGAUGAAGCUCUGGGGGGAGACCAGCAACUAUCCAGAAUUCCUGGAGAGGAUGAAGGUCUUGCUGGUCUACAAAGUGAUAACAUAUUUAACAUACCAUUGCAUCAGCUCCAGGAUUAAGGGAGAUUGUAUUCACCUGCUGAUGGAAUAAAGUCUCAUGUAUAGAAUGCCACGGUGCUCACCACUUCUACCCACAUUAUUUUACUUAAUCUUCACACCUGCCUUGUGAGUGUGGUGUGGCUGAUGGGAAGCUGCAAACGCUGCAUUCCUUUUGCUACCAAGAAGGAAGUGAAAUUUAUGAUGAAGCUCACACUUUGGAAGACAGAUCUGACAGAAAUUAGGUCCUUGGUGAUAUUGUUGAUCCAUGGAAUUAAAUCAACUGCAAAGAUCUCUGAUCCCCUGGAAUUUGCAUUUGUAUGAACCAAUAAAUCUGCUUUAUUGUUUGA
Felis catus (domestic cat) is the source of this 1827-nucleotide RNA transcript. It is a transcript of the gene named integrin subunit beta 1 binding protein 2, with no coding region annotated. The record is from RefSeq and is a predicted model, not a curated record. The transcript has 13 exons. NCBI's taxonomy places the organism in Eukaryota, Metazoa, Chordata, Mammalia, Carnivora, Felidae.